UAAAUUAAGUACAAGUGAUUUCCAAUCACUUAACCUUGGUUAAAAUCCAAGGAAAAGUAAUGAACCUUAUC
RNAcentral lists this transfer RNA (71 nucleotides) under Notorynchus cepedianus (broadnose sevengill shark). Its description in RNAcentral is "tRNA-Gly". The stretch from base 1 to 59 matches the Rfam family "tRNA", at positions 13 to 71 of the family's 71-position model. Rfam says of the family: Transfer RNA (tRNA) molecules are approximately 80 nucleotides in length. Their secondary structure includes four short double-helical elements and three loops (D, anti-codon, and T loops). Further hydrogen bonds mediate the characteristic L-shaped molecular structure. tRNAs have two regions of fundamental functional importance: the anti-codon, which is responsible for specific mRNA codon recognition, and the 3' end, to which the tRNAs corresponding amino acid is attached (by aminoacyl-tRNA synthetases). tRNAs cope with the degeneracy of the genetic code in two manners: having more than one tRNA (with a specific anti-codon) for a particular amino acid; and 'wobble' base-pairing, i.e. permitting non-standard base-pairing at the 3rd anti-codon position. Lineage: Eukaryota; Metazoa; Chordata; Chondrichthyes; Hexanchiformes; Hexanchidae. The record is from RNAcentral.